This 1233-nucleotide ribosomal RNA is filed under the name uncultured bacterium. RNAcentral describes it as "bacterial SSU rRNA". It matches the Rfam family "Bacterial small subunit ribosomal RNA", at positions 269 to 1506 of the family's 1533-position model. The record is from RNAcentral.
CAAGCCUUAGAUGUCUAGCGGGUGUGAGAGCACGACCCGCGCCACUGGCACUGAGACACUGGCCAGACACCUACGGGUGGCUGCAGUCGAGGAUCUUCGGCAAUGGGCGCAAGCCUGACCGAGCGACGCCGCGUGGGCGAUGAAGGCCUUCGGGUUGUAAGCCCUGUCGGGGGGGAGAAAAGGGUAAAACUUUGAUCUAUCCCCGGAGGAAGCACAGGCUAAGUUCGUGCCAGCAGCCGCGGUAAGACGAACCGUGCGAACGUUGUUCGGAAUCACUGGGCUUAAAGGGCGCGUAGGCGGGCCUCCAAGUCCGGGGUGAAAGCCUCCAGCCUAACUGGAGAAGCGCCUCGGAGACUGGGGGCCUCGAGGGAGGUAGGGGCAAGCGGAACUAUGGGUGGAGCGGUGAAAUGCAUUGAUAUCCAUAGGAACUCCGGUGGCGAAGGCGGCUUGCUGGACCUCUUCUGACGCUGAGGCGCGAAAGCCAGGGGAGCAAACGGGAUUAGAUACCCCGGUAGUCCUGGCCCUAAACGUUGGGGACUAGGUAGUCGACCAGACAUGGGUUGACUGCCGGAGCAAAGUGCUAAGUCCCCCGCCUGGGGGAGUAUGGUCGCAAGGCUGAAACUCAAAGGAAUUGACGGGGGCUCACACAAGCGGUGGAGCAUGUGGCUCAAUUCGAGGCUACGCGAAGAACCUUAUCCUGGGCUUGACAUGUGCGAAAGCGCCAGCAGGUAGGACACGGAAACGUGAACGAACGGUAUCCAAUCCGGAAGCUGGUACAGGUGCUGCAUGGCUGUCGUCAGCUCGUGUCGUGAGAUGUCGGGUUAAGUCCCAUAACGAGCGAAACCCUUAUCUUCAGUUGCCAGCGGGUCAUGCCGGGGACUCUGGAGAGACUGCCGGUGUCAAACCGGAGGAAGGUGGGGAUGACGUCAAGUCCUCAUGGCCUUUAUGCCCAGGGCUGCACACGUGCUACAAUGGCGUGAACAGAGGGACGCAAGAGCGCAAGCUGGAGCUAAUCCCACAAAGCACGCCCCAGUUCAGAUCGAAGGCUGCAACUCGCCUUCGUGAAGUCGGAAUCGCUAGUAAUCGCGGGUCAGCAACACCGCGGUGAAUGUGUUCCUGAGCCUUGUACACACCGCCCGUCAAGCCACGAAAGGGUAGAGCCGCCGAAGUCGUCGCAAGGCGCCGAAGCGGAGAUGCCUGAUUGGGACUAAGUCGUAACAAGGUAACCAAGGG